UGGGGGAUAUUGCACAAUGGGCGAAAGCCUGAUGUAGCGACGCCGCGUGGGGGAUGAAGGCCUUCGGGUUGUAAACUUCUUUUGCUCUGAACAAGGCAUGCCUUUGGGGUGUGUUGAGUGUAGGGGUUGAUUAGCGCCGGCUAACUACGUGCCAGCAGCCGCGGUAAUACGUAGGGCGCGAGCGUUGUCCGGAAUUAUUGGGCGUAAAGGGCUUGUAGGUGGCUGGUUGCGUCUGUCGUGAAAGCUCAUGGCUUAACUGUGGGUUUGCGGUGGGUACGGGCUGGCUUGAGUGCAGUAGGGGGGGCUGGAAUUCCUGGUGUAGCGGUGGAAUGCGCAGAUAUCAGGAGGAAUACCGGUGGCGAAGGCGGGUCUCUGGGCUGUUACUGACGCUGAGGAGCGAAAGCGUGGGGAGCGAACAGG
RNAcentral lists this ribosomal RNA (420 nucleotides) under Fusobacteriota bacterium. Its description in RNAcentral is "Fusobacteria bacterium partial 16S ribosomal RNA". It matches the Rfam family "Bacterial small subunit ribosomal RNA", at positions 355 to 776 of the family's 1533-position model. The record is from RNAcentral. Lineage: Bacteria; Fusobacteriati; Fusobacteriota.